Molecule: non-coding RNA, 24 nt
Filed under: Arabidopsis thaliana (thale cress)
Lineage: Eukaryota; Viridiplantae; Streptophyta; Magnoliopsida; Brassicales; Brassicaceae
Source: RNAcentral
UCGUUCGAUCACCUUGUACGGGCC